Molecule: long non-coding RNA, 309 nt
Filed under: Olea europaea subsp. europaea
Lineage: Eukaryota; Viridiplantae; Streptophyta; Magnoliopsida; Lamiales; Oleaceae
Source: RNAcentral
CAAAAACUCCAGUUCCAAUUACAGAACACAGCUUUCAAAACACCCAGAUCACUAAACCACUUAGAAACAAGAAUUCUGAGAAUUUCAACACACACAAGCAACUAAUAUUUAUUGCUUUCAGUCAUUCCCUCACCACACAAGAUUUAUAUAAUUGAAAGAGCAACAAUUCUCAUGCUCAUGACAAAAUGAAUGGGUAGAUUAACCAAUAAGAGUUUAUAGACGGAAAAUUGAAAACGUAAUUCCAAUUUUGUAUUUUUCUCUCAUUCAAUAAUAAUUUUCAUCCAAAAAAUGAUUAUUGUUAUAUAUAGA